GCGGCCGUGGUCCAGCUGGUUCAAGACGCCGGCCCGCCACGCCGGCGGCAGGGGUUCAAAUCCUCUCGGCCCUA
This 74-nucleotide transfer RNA is filed under the name candidate division MSBL1 archaeon SCGC-AAA382A20. RNAcentral describes it as "candidate divison MSBL1 archaeon SCGC-AAA382A20 tRNA". It matches the Rfam family "tRNA". From Rfam's summary of the family: Transfer RNA (tRNA) molecules are approximately 80 nucleotides in length. Lineage: Archaea; Methanobacteriati; Methanobacteriota. The record is from Rfam by way of RNAcentral.